AUAUCUCUCCGUACGGGAAGGAUGAGAAGCUUCGACUAAGGUUCGAUUCGAGCGCAGCGAGAAAGCGUUGCCGCAGGCAACGACCCGAAGGGUGAAGCGCGCAGCGCUGAGUAAUCCUUCCCCCACCACCA
This 131-nucleotide small RNA is filed under the name Salmonella enterica. RNAcentral describes it as "RtT sRNA". It matches the Rfam family "RtT RNA". From Rfam's summary of the family: This family represents a bacterial cis-regulatory element known as RtT RNA. The exact function of RtT is unknown although it is thought that it may be involved in changing the cellular response in relation to amino acid starvation. The record is from RNAcentral. RNAcentral also lists the same sequence under 33 other names. Lineage: Bacteria; Pseudomonadati; Pseudomonadota; Gammaproteobacteria; Enterobacterales; Enterobacteriaceae.